RNAcentral lists this ribosomal RNA (102 nucleotides) under Chromera velia. RNAcentral describes it as "5.8S ribosomal RNA". It matches the Rfam family "5.8S ribosomal RNA", at positions 1 to 102 of the family's 154-position model. From Rfam's summary of the family: 5.8S ribosomal RNA (5.8S rRNA) is a component of the large subunit of the eukaryotic ribosome. It is transcribed by RNA polymerase I as part of the 45S precursor that also contains 18S and 28S rRNA. Lineage: Eukaryota; Chromeraceae. The record is from RNAcentral.
GACUUUCGGCGAUGGAUGUCUUGGUUCCCACAACGAUGAAGGACGCGGCCAACUGUGAUACUCAGUGCGAAUUGCAGAUUUCAGUGAAUCAUCAGACAGCUG